CUAAAAGAUCAACAUAUCUAGAAGUCAUAAAUAUAAUUUAUAAAAAUGUUAAUAAUAAUAUCGGGAACUAUGAUUUGCUGCCGGACUGCUGGCAUAUAGAGUACAUUUAUGGUGCAACGGAGACAGAUUGUGUUGAAUUUUGAAGAAACGACGCUUUCAACAAUUGAGCUGGACUGACUAUGCGGAUGCCACAUGCGAGAGCAGUUGCGUGCAACCGCAGCAGAAUUGAAGUUUUAAUUUAAAUUUUAGGGCAAUGUUGUUGUAAUUUAUUAAGCUUGCCAUGAAACUGACUGCACUACACCGCAAAAUUGUCAACAGGCGGGCCUCACAUACGCGCACACAAGCAUGCAUUUAAAGAGCCGCAGACACGCACGUGUGCUGCAAAAAACGGAAACGGAAACAGCAGCGCGGUCGUCUUUUGAGUGUGUGUGUGUGUGUGUGUGUAUGGGUGUGUAUGGGUGUCUGUUUGCAUUGGUGUUUGUACGGGCUUUGACAAAUAUUUCGUGUGUACGUGAGCCAGUGCCCGUGUGAGUGUGUGUGUGUGUGCUUUGCCGGAUGCGAAAGUUUGUUGCUGCAAAUAAAAGGUUUCGAAAUUAGCAAGUAAAAUAUGCACACAAAUGCCAGGUGUAUGUGUGUACAGCAUUAACGGAAACGGACUCUUGUGUUUGAAAUUAUUUGAAAUUAUUUUGAAUUCACAUUACAUAUUUGUCGGAUUAGCAGACACUGUAAUUAA
Molecule: long non-coding RNA, 733 nt
Organism: Drosophila montana
Lineage: Eukaryota; Metazoa; Arthropoda; Insecta; Diptera; Drosophilidae
Exons: 2
Source: RefSeq, a predicted model, not a curated record